This 233-nucleotide unclassified non-coding RNA is filed under the name plant metagenome. RNAcentral's name for it is "partial contains small subunit ribosomal RNA, internal transcribed spacer 1, and 5.8S ribosomal RNA". The record is from RNAcentral.
UUUCCGUAGGUGAACCUGCGGAAGGAUCAUUAUUGGAGUUUGAAGCUUGAGGUUGCUCCUGGCUUUCCUCGGAGGGCAUGUGCACGCUUGUUGUCAGUUAUUACUCCCACUGUUCACAAAGUGUAGACCUUUCAGUAGGCCUAUUUUGUUUUUCACAAUCUCUGUCUGUAAUAGAAUGGAUCUGCAUCUUGGGAAAUAAAAUACAACUUUCAGCAACGGAUCUCUUGGCUCUC